CCAGAGAACUUAGCAGAGAUGCUUUGGUGCCUUCGGGGAACUCUGAGACAGGUGCUGCAUGGCUGUCGUCAGCUCGUGUUGUGAAAUGUUGGGUUAAGUCCCGCAACGAGCGCAACCCUUAUCCUUUGUUGCCAGCGGCUCGGCCGGGAACUCAAAGGAGACUGCCGGUGAUAAACCGGAGGAAGGUGGGGAUGACGUCAAGUCAUCAUGGCCCUUACGGCCAGGGCUACACACGUGCUACAAUGGCGCAUACAAAGAGAAGCGACCUCGCGAGAGCAAGCGGACCUCAUAAAGUGCGUCGUAGUCCGGAUUGGAGUCUGCAACUCGACUCCAUGAAGUCGGAAUCGCUAGUAAUCGUAGAUCAGAAUGCUACGGUGAAUACGUUCCCGGGCCUUGUACACACCGCCCGUCACACCAUGGGAGUGGGUUGCAAAAGAAGUAGGUAGCUUAACCUUCGGGAGGGCGCUUACCACUUUGUGAUUCAUGACUGGGGUGAAGUCGUAACAAGGUAAGCGUAGCGAG
This 522-nucleotide ribosomal RNA is filed under the name uncultured bacterium. RNAcentral describes it as "bacterial SSU rRNA". It matches the Rfam family "Bacterial small subunit ribosomal RNA", at positions 988 to 1509 of the family's 1533-position model. The record is from RNAcentral.